GUGCUCGCCUCUGCAGCACGUAUACUAAAAUCGGAACGAUACCGGGAAGGUUAGCAUGGCCCCUGUGCAAGGAUGACAGGCAAAUUCGUGAAGCGUUCCAUAUUAAA
This is a small nuclear RNA of Rattus rattus (black rat), 107 nucleotides long. The record is from RefSeq and is a predicted model, not a curated record. NCBI's taxonomy places the organism in Eukaryota, Metazoa, Chordata, Mammalia, Rodentia, Muridae.